CCUACGGGGGGCAGCAGUGGGGAAUAUUGCACAAUGGGCGCAAGCCUGAUGCAGCCAUGCCGCGUGUGUGAAGAAGGCCUUCGGGUUGUAAAGCACCUUCAGCGGGGAGGAAGGCGGUGAGGUUAAUAACCUCAUCGAUUGACGUUACCCGCAGAAGAAGCACCGGCUAACUCCGUGCCAGCAGCCGCGGUAAUACGGAGGGUGCAAGCGUUAAUCGGAAUUACUGGGCGUAAAGCGCACGCAGGCGGUCUGUCAAGUCGGAUGUGAAAUCCCCGGGCUCAACCUGGGAACUGCAUUCGAAACUGGCAGGCUAGAGUCUUGUAGAGGGGGGUAGAAUUCCAGGGGUAGCGGUGAAAUGCGUAGAGAUCUGGAGGAAUACCGGUGGCGAAGGCGGCCCCCUGGACAAAGACUGACGCUCAGGUGCGAAAGCGGGGGGAGCAAACAGGAUUAAUACCCUUGUAGUC
RNAcentral lists this ribosomal RNA (464 nucleotides) under uncultured Klebsiella sp. RNAcentral describes it as "bacterial SSU rRNA". It matches the Rfam family "Bacterial small subunit ribosomal RNA", at positions 338 to 795 of the family's 1533-position model. The record is from RNAcentral. Lineage: Bacteria; Pseudomonadati; Pseudomonadota; Gammaproteobacteria; Enterobacterales; Enterobacteriaceae.